GAGAGAGAGAGAGAGAGAGAGAUCACCUUUCCUAAUUUAUGUAGUUCAUCUCCCCCAUGAGAAAAUAUUAUAGUUCUAGACUUUUCUUCAUGGGUCUUGCCACUUUUACAGUUUUACUCUCCCAUGCAUCUGAACAGUGGUGUUGGUCUAUAUGUCGAUCAAGGCAGCAUGGGUGUCAGACUUUGGGAGGGUCACAGAAGCCCCUGAUUCCAGGGAUGUCUGCUCUAAUCUCUUCCUUUUGAGUGAAGCAUAAGCCCGUGACCUGCUUGUAGGCAAAGAAAAAUGGCAGAGGUUGUUGUCCUUUUUGUGGUUGUGACGUGCUGCAUCUGAUUGUGGUUUUUCUGUUCCCUUCAGAAAUUCUCCUCUUUGCCGGCUUUGGUGGACCAACUGCUUCAUGGUAACUUACCCUAUGGAUGCUUUUAUCUGGAAAGGAACCUAGGUCCUCAGUGCAACUGCUUGCAAGGAACCAAACCCCACUACCACCUCCUCAGUGAUCAUGGAAGUGUGUCUUCCCUUGGUUGAGUCUUCAGAUGAAAUCUAAGGCCAACUGACCCUUUCUCUGAAGCUCAGUGAGAGAAGGAGGCUUUUCCUGGUUAGUUUCAUAGAUCAAGUAAUCAUGGAAACCUCUCUGCCGAGUCAUCUUUCCAUCCACCUUGUCUCCUGAGAGACUAUUAGCAACAUGGCUUCACCCAGGCCAAUAAUGACCGACAAUUUAAACCUUGUCCUCAAAGAAGCAAGCAAGGUGGUGAAUCACGAGCAGAGUGCUGAGUUCAGGUAUAUUGCUCUGAGGACUUCGCAUCUAUGAACGUAUUUAACUGUGCAGUAAUUAUGGUGAAUUGUGCACAGAACAUCCCACUUCACGGAUGAGAAGUAGGAGCCUGUAGGGAGAUUGCUGUCAAGAAUCAGAUGAUAAGGGUUGCCAUGGCAGGAACACCAGAGUGGAGACCGGGAUGCCUUGUCCAAUCAUGACAAGGAGCCAUUGUUUAAAUGGAGACAUGGUAGCCGACAAAUUGUGUUGAAUGUCAAAAGGAAUUUUCUAACCUGGUACGGAAAGAUGGCUCAGUGGAUGCCAAUAUGUGCGGAGUAAGCCGGAUGACCUGCCUCCAGUCCCUGAGUCCAUGACGGAAAAAGAGAGAAGCAACUCUGAAAGUUGUUCUCUGACAUCCUUGGGUUCACCAUGGCAUAGACACACCCCUCUUUACCCCCAUAUUCUCACUUGCAAUCAAAAUAUAAAUGAAAUAAUUUGUCUUUUAAAACAGAGAAAUUUCCAAGUUAAAUAUUUAGUAUAGAUAACUAAUUUAAUGCAGGGAAAACAUUUGAAAAAAAUUAAAUUUAAGUUUAAAAAUUGAAAGUUAAAAAACCUGUGGGACAAAGGUUUGGGGGAGAUUCUCUCUGUUGAGUUAAAGAUACCGCAGAAGUUUUCUUGGCCC
Peromyscus eremicus (cactus mouse) is the source of this 1430-nucleotide long non-coding RNA. RefSeq lists it as uncharacterized. NCBI's taxonomy places the organism in Eukaryota, Metazoa, Chordata, Mammalia, Rodentia, Cricetidae. The record is from RefSeq and is a predicted model, not a curated record. The transcript is spliced from 3 exons.